CCUUUUUUGCUGUUUGUGUGUGUAUGUGUGUGUGUGUCUGUGUGUGUGUGUGAGAGAGAGAGAGAGAGAGAGCAAUCAUUUUGAAAUCACUUCACUCUCACACACACAACGUGCAGUCGCGCGGUGAGCGCUGGAGCGAACGAUCCCGAGGCAACCCAUAGUUGUGUAGCUGUACAGAGGGUGACUGACAGAGGACCAAAACGCUGGCAACUAAUGGACAUAUAGUAUAUUGUUUUGUUUUUUUACUCUGGAACCCUCUGCUACGGGAACAUAUUGAGGAUUAGCUUAGCAGCUGGUGAGAAUGUUCCAAACUAAGCACGGGAUGCUGCCAUAAAACUGGUCCGGAGACGUACUAUAUAUGGUUGUUUCCGUAUCCGAGGAGGGGACAACAAUCUGAUGUGCAGCGCUUCUGGUCACCAAGUUGUUUUCUGCCGGCAAUUAACGCACUCGAUUUGAUAUCAGGGGGACCGUCAUUGGAUUUGAAGGAAUAGGCUAACCGUCGUCGGCUGAUCAAGUGGAUUGUUUGUUGUUGGGGGUUUUUAUCACGGGGAGAGCGUUGUUCAUGUAUUGUGGAUUCCUACUUGUGGGGAGAUAUUGAGGGCUGAAGUGGCUUCGUUCAGGAGAGGCGAGGGAUCGAAGCUUCUAGCCCGGCUGAAGCACUCAGAACUGGGAUAGGCUACUGAGGAGUUCUCAUCCAUCCAAGACCGGUGCUGUGCCUGUCAAGUGGAGGGAUGGCGCUGAGGUGGGAUUCCACGCUGGUGUUGGCCGCCAUGCUUCUGGUUUGCUGUGGCGCCGAUCCCACUGACAUUCUCUACCGGAUGCUCGAGGAGCAGCCGCCCAACACGUUGAUCGGCAGCCUGGCAUCGGACGAGGGCCUGCCCGACUCAGGCCACCUGUACAAGCUGGAGGUGGGCGCCCCUUACCUGCGCGUGGAUGGCAAGACGGGAGACAUUUACACCACAGAGGUCCCCAUCGACCGUGAGACACUGCGGGACUGCCGCAACCUGCUCGAGGGCGACAAGUGCUUCCUGGAGUUCGAGGUGUCCAUCACGGACCUGAAGCAGGGCCAGGGACCGCGGCUGAUUGAGGGCCGCAUCGAGGUGCAGGACGUCAAUGACAACACACCCCAGUUCACCUCGCCCAUCCUCAUGCUGUCCAUCCCAGAGAACACACACAUCGGGGCACUCUUCUCCAUCCCCAUGGCCAGCGACAAGGACUCGGGCCACAACGGCGUAGCCGAGUACUCGCUUAGCGCCGGGCCUGACGCCGACCAGCUCUUCAACCUGCAGGUGGCCGAGGACACAGACGAGAAGCAGCCGCAGCUCAUCGUCAUGGGCAACCUGGACCGUGAGCAGAAAGACUCGUACGAUCUCAACAUCCGUGUGGUGGAUGGGGGCACACCGCCGCGAGCCAGCAGCGCCCUGCUGAGGGUGACCGUCACCGACCAGAACGACAACGCACCCAAGUUUGAGAGGAGCCACUAUGAGGCUGAGCUGGCUGAGAACAGCCCUGUGGGACACUCAGUCUUGCAGGUGAAAGCCAACGACGCUGACAUGGGUACCAACGGGGAGAUCGACUAUAGCCUGCACCAGGCCUCCGAUGCCGUCCAGAGGUUGCUACGCAUUGACCGCUCCACAGGGAUCAUCUACGUCAAGGGGCUGGUGGACCGCGAGGAGGAGAGCUUCCUCAAGUUCUUCGUGGUGGCCAAGGACCGCGGCCCCAACUCCAAGAACUCCAAAGUCCUGGUGACCAUCAACGUCAAGGACCAGAACGAUAAUGCACCCGCCAUCGAGAUCCGUGGCAUCGGCCUGGUCACCCACCACGACGGCGUGGCCAACAUCUCAGAGGACAUGCCCAUCGGCACGCCUGUGGCCCUGGUGCAGGUGUCGGAUCGUGAUGAAGGGGAAAAUGCUGUGGUCACCUGUGUGGUGGCCGGGGACGUCCCCUUCCAGCUGCGGCCCGCCAGCGAGUCAGCCAACGACCGCAAGAGGAAAUACUUCCUGCAGACCACGACCCUGCUAGACUACGAGCGCAUCAAGGACUACAGGAUUGAAAUAGUAGCGGUGGACUCCGGUAACCCUGCACUGUCCAGCACAAACUCCCUGAAGGUGCAAGUCACCGACAUGAAUGACAAUGCCCCUGUAUUCUCCCCCACCCUGUUUGAGGUGGACUUUGCAGAGGAGAAUCAGCCAGGUGAUAAGGUCCUGGAUGUGGUGGCCACGGACGCGGACAGUGGGUCCAACGCAGAGCUGACCUACAGCAUCAUCAUGGACUCGACCACUAAGGGGCUCUUUGAGAUCGACCCCAAAACGGGAGAGGUGCACGUGAGGAAUACGCUGGACCGUGAGCACAGAGAGCAGUACGAGUUCCACGUGGCAGCGGCCGAUAAGGGCUCGCCUAGCCUGAGGGGGACAGCCACGGUAGUGGUCAAGGUGCUGGACCGUAACGACAACGAACCCAAGUUCAUGUUGAGCGGCUACAGCUUCUCCGUUUUGGAGAACAUGCCUCCGCUCAGCCCUGUUGGCAUGGUGACGGUCAUCGAUGCAGAUAAGGGCGAGAACGCCAGGGUUCGGCUCUCGGUGGAGCCCGACAAUGGCAAGUUUGUCAUCCAGAAUGGCACAGGCACUAUCCUUUCCAGCAUCUCCUUUGACCGUGAGAAGGAGAGCACAUACACUUUCCGCCUCAAGGCUGUGGACGCCGGUGACCCUCCCAGGUCCUCCUACGUGGGUGUGACCAUCAACGUCUUGGACGAGAACGAUAACUCCCCCUACGUCACCAAGCCCUCUAACUCCUCCUACAAGUACCUCCCACCUCUCACGACCCCCGAGACACGCGUGGAAGUGGUGGAGGCUGAAGACAUCGACACAGGACCCAACGCCGAGCUGGUCUUCAGCAUUACCGGCGGGAACCCCUACGGACUGUUUCACAUCUCGCCCACCAAUGGGGAGAUAACCCUGGCCCAGGAGUUCACCCGCAAGCACAACGGGCUCCACCGUCUGGUGGUGAAGGUGAGCGACAAAGGCAAGCCACCACGCCACACCACCGCCCUGGUCCACAUCUUCGUCAACGAGACCAUGGGCAACAUCACCCUGAUUGAGUCUCUGGUGGGUCACAGCCUCUACACUCCUCUGGACAGAGACAUUGCCGGGGACCCCAACUACGCGCUGGCCCAGCGCAGCAAUAUCCUGUACGGCAGCCUAGCGGGCAUCGCCGGAGUCAUCCUGGUCAUCGUGGUGGUGGUGGUGAUCCGCCAUCGCAUGCAGAAGGACACCAAGAGCGGCUACCAGGCGGGCAAGAAGGAGAGUAAGGACCUGUACGCCCCCAAAGCAGGGCCCAAGAAUGGCAAGGGCAAAAAGAGCAAGAAGGGCAAGGUGCCCAAGCCCACCAAGCCACUGGAGGAGGAUGAAGAGGCCAGCCUCCAGAAGGGCCUCAACUUCAACCUCAUAAACGAUAGUGUCAAUGACAGUCCCCGGAUCCACCUGCCCCUCAACUACCCCCCGGGCAGCCCCGACCUGGGCAGACACUACCGCUCCAACUCCCCACUGCCCUCCAUCCAGCUGCAGCCCCAGUCCCCCUCUGCCUCCAAGAAGCACCAAGCCGUUCAGGACCUGCCUGCCACCAACACCUUUGUGGGCACAGGUGACAACAACUCUACAGGCUCCGAUCAAUAUUCGGAUUACAGCUACAAGGCAAACCCGCCGAAAUACAGCAACAAACAGGAGGCACAUCUUUGGUUGAGCACCUACACUGCCCCACACAGAGUCAUUCCGUAUAUUUUAAUGUGUUUAGAGAAAUCAUUUGGUUUUAAAGUCCCUUUUUAUGGCAGGAUUCUAUUUCCUUUCACACUGAGUUUGUUCAUUUGAGUGUGACAAAGUGCUGGUGAAUUCCUUAGACACUUUUAUUGUCUGUUGGCUACCACUGGAGAGUACAAGCUUGGCCUAACUGCACUUUUUUUAUGUUUUCACUUCAAAAUAAUUAAAAUCAUUCACCAAAGGGUAGAUAGCCAAGGGGAAAGAAGGGAGUGGGGGAAGGUAAGCAAAGAAGACAUAUAGAAAUUGAAAAGCACACUUAACGACAAGGGAAGGUCCUUUCAGACACCUUGUGUUAUUUUGAAGCCUGCCACUGCACAUCCUGUCAGGCCAUUGAAAAAGGACUCUUCAUUUACUGGGGCUUAAGUCAAUUGUUUGCACAGAUUAAUGGCAGGUAAUUCCAGCCCCGCUCGCCUGUACACAGAGAGUGCCUUGCUUUAUUUAACGUACAUAUGUGGGGUGGUUAAAUUCAUGCUCAUAAGUAGUGUGGUAUGGCACCUUUAUGAGUAAUGGACUUAAGGCCCCGGCAAGCUGUGAAUAAUGUCACAUCCACUGUGAAACGAGAGGCUCUGAAAAGAAAGAACAGGAGACCGAGGUUGAUUGCAUUUUGCAGUAGUAUCUGUUGGAGAGUAUACCAAAAAAACAAGAUUGCUUUGUUCGUAUGGCCUCUUUAAAAUGAUUUGGAGACAAUCGUAUGAUGUAGUAAUAUGCAAGUUGUACAUAUGUGAAUAACAAACUAUGUUUGCUGAUGUUGUAUUUUUAGUUUUACUCAUCAUGUGUUUGUUCUGAUUGCAACAUGUCCUGUGUGUGAUUUGUACUCAAAUGGAGAACAUUCAUUUUUUGUGAGUAACUGAGCCACUCAGUUGUCCUUGUUAGUGAUGCCUGCAUUCACCAACCCAAUUCUCUAACAAUCAAAUUACACACACAAACACACACACACACACAUUUGAAUACAGGAGGUAGUACUGUUAUUGUCAUGCUUCAAGUGAGCGUCAUAAUGUUUGCUACACUAGAGUACCCAGGAGGCAUUGCAGUUCAGUGUUCCAUGUUGCUUGAGUUCAGCUGUAUUUAAAGCUGCAGUUAUCCCCAUUUUGACGAGACAUUUUCAUUUUGCUUCUGUUUUUGUUUUAUCCAUUUCUUUGUUUGUAAAAAUAUUGUACCCUGGGAGAAAAUUUGUUCCGUUUUUUUUUUACGACUAAAUCCAAUUUUAUUUCAAUAAAAACGUUGUUAAAAUGGUGAAAUCA
Molecule: long non-coding RNA, 5053 nt
Filed under: Salmo salar (Atlantic salmon)
Lineage: Eukaryota; Metazoa; Chordata; Actinopteri; Salmoniformes; Salmonidae
Description: lncRNA (ENSSSAG00000002398.2)
Source: RNAcentral